UACGUAGGGUGCAAGCGUUGUCCGGAAUUAUUGGGCGUAAAGAGCUCGUAGGCGGCUUGUCGCGUCGGCUGUGAAAACCUGGGGCUCAACCCCGGGCCUGCAGACGAUACGGGCAAGCUAGAAUUCGGUAGGGGAGACUGGAAUUCCUGGUGUAGCGGUGAAAUGCGCAGAUAUCAGGAGGAACACCGGUGGCGAAGGCGGGUCUCUGGGCCGCAACUGACGCUGAGGAGCGAAAGCAUGGGGAGCGAACAGG
Molecule: ribosomal RNA, 253 nt
Filed under: uncultured bacterium
Lineage: Bacteria
Description: partial 16S ribosomal RNA
Rfam family: Bacterial small subunit ribosomal RNA
Source: RNAcentral